UCGUAUCUGAUCUUAGUUUCCUGCCUAAUAACUCAGUUUUUUAGUUACUGUAUAGUUAUUUGUGGGUGAUUUUGGCUGUGGGUUUCUGAUUUUGUGUGUGUUUUAAGUGAAUCUGAUAAUUGGGUUUUCGACUUUGUGCGUAUUUAGGUGAACUUGAUCAUGGAUUUUGGAAUUUGUGUAUAAAUAAGUGGAUCUGAUAUGGGAUUAAUGAUAUUGUGUAUAUUAUGCUGGGAUGUUAAUGAUUGUGUGCAUAUUUAGGUGAAUCUGAUAUGGAGAUUUUGGUUUUUAGGGGUUUAGGAGCUGGUGGAUUUGUAGAAUAAGCUGAUAUCUCGACCCGUAUCGUCAAAUUUGUUUAAACGAAGAGCUGCCGAGCUAUAUGAGUUACAGGACUUGUGGAGGAUCCUGUCCGAGGUGCUUAAGGAAUGGGAUGUUAGCUCAAAGUGGAGUGAAUUUAAGUUAGUAGAAUGUGUAAACUGAAUAGCUGUGUUGCUGCAUCUUCGUAUGAUUAGAAAGAAGCUGCGAAAUGCACACUGGAUUUUGAGUGGUAGAUCUAAGGGAGGGUUGUUCUGAUUGUAAACAUCUAAUUGGUUAUUCAUGUGUUGCAUAAUCUAUCUGGUGUGAUUAGAGUUUAUGUGAUUGCAUUUUCUUUAGGGUUUUUCAGUAAUGACUCUUGAUUAAUGACUUUUGUAUGUCUCAAUAAUGACUCUUGAUUAACCUUAUUAGAUUGUAUCAACUGUUGCUGCUUGCAAUCGGAUUUGGUCAUAUUGGUGAA
Molecule: non-coding RNA, 772 nt
Organism: Malus domestica (apple)
Lineage: Eukaryota; Viridiplantae; Streptophyta; Magnoliopsida; Rosales; Rosaceae
Source: RefSeq, a predicted model, not a curated record